CAUCUCUCCCAGGACCCUCUGUCUUCCAGCUCCAGUCCUGGCUGAUUGUUUUCCAUGCCGGUGGCACAGACGUGGGCCUGAACUCUCCCUUCACUGUUAUCCUUGGAAUUCCUAUCAUCUCUAUCCUGUAUCGGAUCUUCUGCCUUCUGGAUUCCAUAGCUUCCUUUUCCUUGGUAUAUUUCUUUGUUUCAGUUGAGAUACAAUUUUUUUUAAUUCUGCACAUCGGAAAAAAAGAUUAUUUUAGUAUGAGAAGCAAUGUACAACUUUCUUCAGGCUCCUGACUGCCCCUCAGGUGAGGACCCGGCCUUGCUCAGAGGAGUCAAAUGUAGAGGAAGAAACAGAGGCAGAGUUUAAGAAACCGAUCUAAGGUGACAGAGCUGGGUCUUCUUUGGAACCCCUUAUCCUCUGGGCACAUGGAGCAGUCAGAAUGAAUUGGGGACUGUGAAAACUCUCUUCUAAUCUGAGAGAGCUGGAGUCAACAGAGGUCGUAGAGGAGAUCGCAGAAAAAGGCAGUUCAGACUUCACAGAAAAUAGACAUAUGCUGAAGGUGAGCAUUGGGAGACAAGUGGCGGAGCGACAGAGGGGUGGAAGACAGGGUCAGAAAAGCAGAUGUAAAGAACUUGAGAAGUGCAGGCAGAAGUCAACUGGCCUCUUUCUCCAGAUCCCCAGGCAUUAGCAAUAGUAGGAAAGGCGGCAGAGGUAGAGGACAGAGCACCCCAUUGCAAGAGCAUCAGAAUCAGGAUCAGGGUAGGAAGAAUACAAUA
Molecule: long non-coding RNA, 764 nt
Organism: Talpa occidentalis (Iberian mole)
Lineage: Eukaryota; Metazoa; Chordata; Mammalia; Eulipotyphla; Talpidae
Exons: 5
Source: RefSeq, a predicted model, not a curated record